RNAcentral lists this long non-coding RNA (698 nucleotides) under Bos mutus (wild yak). Its description in RNAcentral is "lncRNA (ENSBMUG00000002012.1)". Lineage: Eukaryota; Metazoa; Chordata; Mammalia; Artiodactyla; Bovidae. The record is from RNAcentral.
AAAAGUUUUCUGUUUACAUUUUUCAAGUGAGAUGAUCUUUUAUUAUUAAAGACCUAUUCUAUGCCCAGUACUUCACAAUAGUCUAAAAAAGAUGGUCACUGUCUGCAAAGAACUUUUAGCCUAGCUGGUAAUAUUGUACUGACUUACAGGAAACAACUAGAGAAGAGUGGAGUGUAAAGUCUGUCUUACGAACUUGAAGUGCGCAGUAGAACCUCAAAGAAAAUGUGGAUCUAGACAAUGGAAAAGACUUCUUAGAGGAGGUGGAAAAUAAGCUCCUAUCUAUUGAAAAAUAGAUAGGAUUAACUCAAUGAAAUGAAAGAAUUGGAGACUUAGUGCAGAAAACAUGAAGAAAGUCAUGAUCAGGCACUUAUUUUGACAUCACCACUGCCCCCAUCAAAAAAAAAAAAAUCGUAUCUUGUGUACCUAGACCAUGUGGAGAAAGGACUGAGACCAGAAGCAGAAAACAGACAUUGUCCAUACAGAGCAAAGUGCCAGACAACAGCUCGUUCUAGUAAAAGGCAAUAAAGGCCACAUGUGAUGAUCUCCUGAGUUCAAAACUUUACAUCUGACUUACAUGCCAGGUCUGAUGACUUCUACUAUCUUUUCAUGACUUCUAAAUUAUGGAGGUAAGUCAAGAUUUAAUAUUGACUGUAGUCAUGUAACAUUCAUUCUGAACUUGUAUUCCUUUAAUAUAUUUA